Molecule: ribosomal RNA, 253 nt
Filed under: uncultured bacterium
Lineage: Bacteria
Description: partial 16S ribosomal RNA
Rfam family: Bacterial small subunit ribosomal RNA
Source: RNAcentral
UACGUAGGGGGCAAGCGUUAUCCGGAUUUACUGGGUGUAAAGGGAGCGUAGACGGCGGCGCAAGCCAGAUGUGAAAGCCCGGGGCUCAACCCCGGGACUGCAUUUGGAACUGUGCUGCUAGAGUGUCGGAGAGGCAGGCGGAAUUCCUAGUGUAGCGGUGAAAUGCGUAGAUAUUAGGUGGAACACCAGUGGCGAAGGCGGCCUGCUGGACGAUGACUGACGUUGAGGCUCGAAAGCGUGGGGAGCAAACAGG